ACGGAAGGCAGCAGUGGGGAAUAUUGGGCAAUGGGCGCAAGCCUGACCCAGCAACGCCGCGUGAAGGAUGAAGGUCUUCGGAUUGUAAACUUCUUUGAUCAGGGACGAAUAAAUGACGGUACCGGAAGAACAAGUCACGGCUAACUACGUGCCAGCAGCCGCGGUAAUACGUAGGUGACAAGCGUUAUCCGGAUUUACUGGGUGUAAAGGGCGUGUAGGCGGUUUGGCAAGUCAGAAGUGAAAUUCCCGGGCUUAACUUGGGCGCUGCUUCUGAAACUGCUUUACUUGAGUACUGGAGAGGAUAGUGGAAUUCCUAGUGUAGCGGUAAAAUGCGCAGAUAUUAGGAGGAACACCGGUGGCGAAGGCGGCUAUCUGGACAGUAACUGACGCUGAGGCGCGAAAGCACGGGGAGCAAACAGGAUUAGAUACCCUGGUA
RNAcentral lists this ribosomal RNA (436 nucleotides) under uncultured Saccharofermentans sp. RNAcentral describes it as "partial 16S ribosomal RNA". It matches the Rfam family "Bacterial small subunit ribosomal RNA", at positions 341 to 792 of the family's 1533-position model. Lineage: Bacteria; Bacillati; Bacillota; Clostridia; Eubacteriales; Oscillospiraceae. The record is from RNAcentral.